Molecule: long non-coding RNA, 1622 nt
Filed under: Homo sapiens (human)
Lineage: Eukaryota; Metazoa; Chordata; Mammalia; Primates; Hominidae
Description: HSALNT0241091
Source: RNAcentral
CUUGUCCAAGGAAGGACAAGCUGUCUCACCUCUCUGAAGCUCAGUUUCCUCAGCUGUAAAACUAGCAGAAAGAUCAUGCAGGCUGCAGGUUCUUUGUAACAGGCCAAGAGACAGCAAAGUUGGACACGCCAAAGAUUCGUCGAAUAACAAGGGACACAUGAAACAUUCUUGAGAUGAUGGGUCUGAGCAAUCCAUUAUCCAUCAGAUGAGGAGACCACGGCCCAGGGAAGACAGCAGGAGCAGGUGGCUGCAGAAGGCGAUCAGGCCUGCGGCUGACAGAAGGCUCAGCAGCACCAGGACUGGGGCCAGUAUGCGGACCAUCGGGAUGGACACCCUGGAGACGAGACGCAAGGAGCCUAGUGGCUGUUACCAGAUAAGCCAGAGUCUAUGUCCUUUGGGGGUCCCAGGCACAGGCUGAGAAAGCCAAUCCCUAGUGUGGAAUCCAAUUCAAUGCAGCAGAGACUUGUGGGGGGUGGUGGUGCGGGGGGGUGGUAUUUAGUGCUACUGGCUCUUGACAAACAUUAUGUAAUUAGCGCAGACCCCGGAGCCAGGCUGUCUAGGUUCAAACUCUAGCUCCACCACCUUUCUAUACCUUGGAUAAGUGACUAAACCUCCCAGGGUGUCAAUUUCCUCCUCUGUAAAAUGGCUGUGGUGAGGAUCAAAUGGGUGAGGAUGUGUAAAGCGCAUAGUUCAGUGCCACACACAUGCCAGGCACCACGUCAAUGUUAGCUGUUAAAUUCCACAACCCCUGUAUAACUAGGUAGGAGUGGAUCAAUUUCACACUGGAGAAACUGACACCUGAAGCAAUGAGCGACUCGUUAGGUCAUGCAGUGGUGUGUGGGGAAGUUCCCGGUGGCCUGUAUCUGGGCUGGUGUCACUGGCAUGUGGGGCAUCCUGGCAUUCUUACUGUGAGUCAAGCCAUGUCCUUUCUCUCUCCCAAGGAGAUCAGAGGGCACUAGGGACCACGAUGUCCCAUCAGCCCUGUCAGGUGUGGAACGGAUCCCCGCCCCCAUUGCCAACCCAGGAUUCACUUUCAGCAGGGCCUGAACCUGCCAGCAGCUGCCUGGAUGUCGGUAGCCAAGUGCAUUUACAACCCCCAAGAACCAAUCCUUCAGGCUGGGACUCCAGUUGUAAGGAGUUGGUGAGAUCGUGUUAAACUGUCGAUGGCUGGAAAUUGGCCAUGGGAAUUGGACCACAGAAAUGGACACCACAGAAAUUGGAAAACACCACAAAAUGACAGCAUCCCCAGCCUGUUAAACAUUUACCAGCACAUCACUGUCGUCAGUCUUCUUCAUUUUCAACAUCCCAACUGCCAUCAGAGAGAGGCCAAUAGAGUCCGAUAUAGGACGAUAAUAUAGCAAUACACAUGUCAUACACAAAUAAAGAAUUACAAAUGAGGGUAAACCUAAAACACAAGCGAACUUGAUCAUAACUGGUAGAAAUGACAUGUGAACACUGAUAAGAAUUGGAAGAGAUAAGAGAAUCUUGUAAAUAAUGAAGAACAGAUUCAAUGUGGUUCGAUGCUGCUGCUAUUUGGCAAGUUUAACUUUAUUUCCUCAAAUUAAAGAUCCAUGGAUAAAGGAAUAAAAAAAAAAUAGGGGCUAUGGUGGUAGGGAUGGGCC